This is a small nuclear RNA of Sinocyclocheilus rhinocerous, 110 nucleotides long. Lineage: Eukaryota; Metazoa; Chordata; Actinopteri; Cypriniformes; Cyprinidae. The record is from Ensembl.
AUGACCACGACCACAGCGGCACAUAUACAAAAAUUGAAUUGAUUCUGAGAAGAUUAGCAUGGCCCCUGCGAAAGGAUGACACGCAAAUCCCAGCUUUGGCCAGGGUAGAU